GGGCGACCUGCCCACUUGUGGGGUAUAGCCGGCCCAACGGCCGGGUAAUCCCGCAUACGCUUCUCUGGCUGCAUGGCUGGAGGAGGAAAGCCGUAAGGCGCAAGUGGAGGGGCUCGCGGCCUAUCAGCUAGUUGGCGGGGUAACGGCCCACCAAGGCUACGACGGGUAGCUGGUCUGAGAGGAUGGCCAGCCACAUUGGGACUGAGAUACGGCCCAGACUCCUACGGGAGGCAGCAGUGGGGAAUCUUGCGCAAUGGUCGAAAGACUGACGCAGCGACGCCGCGUGCGGGAGGAAGCCCUUCGGGGUGUAAACCGCUGUUACUCGGGACGAACCUCCUGUUUCGACAGGAUUGACGGUACCGGGGGAGGAAGCACCGGCUAACUCUGUGCCAGCAGCCGCGGUAAUACAGAGGGUGCGAGCGUUGUCCGGAAUCACUGGGCGUAAAGGGCGCGUAGGCGGCUUCUCACGCGUGCGGUGAAAGCUCGGGGCUUAACUCCGAGUCUGCCGUGCGAACGGGGAGGCUUGAGUCUGGUAGAGGUCGAUGGAAUUCCGGGUGUAGCGGUGGAAUGCGUAGAGAUCCGGAAGAACACCGGUGGCGGAGGCGGUCGACUGGGCCAGUACUGACGCUGAGGCGCGACAGCGGGGGGAGCAAACAGGAUUAGAUACCCUGGUAGUCCACGCCGUAAACGAUGGGCACUAGGUCCUUGGGGGAACGACCCCUUGAGGGCCGGCGCUAACGCAUUAAGUGCCCCGCCUGGGGAGUACGGCCGCAAGGCUGAAACUCAAAGGAAUUGACGGGGGCCCGCACAAGCGGUGGAGCAUGUGGUUUAAUUCGACGCAACGCGAAGAACCUUACCUGGGCUUGACAUGCACGGGAACUCGUGGGGAAACCCGCGGGGCUCUUCGGAGCUCGUGCACAGGUGCUGCAUGGCUGUCGUCAGCUCGUGUCGUGAGAUGUUGGGUUAAGUCCCGCAACGAGCGCAACCCUUGGGACUAGUUGCCAGCGAGUAAAGUCGGGGGACUCUAGUCCGA
RNAcentral lists this ribosomal RNA (1033 nucleotides) under uncultured Gemmatimonas sp. Its description in RNAcentral is "bacterial SSU rRNA". It matches the Rfam family "Bacterial small subunit ribosomal RNA", at positions 119 to 1148 of the family's 1533-position model. The record is from RNAcentral. Lineage: Bacteria; Pseudomonadati; Gemmatimonadota; Gemmatimonadia; Gemmatimonadales; Gemmatimonadaceae.